GAUGAAGAACGCAGCGAAAUGCGAUAAGUAAUGUGAAUUGCAGAAUUCCGUGAAUCAUCGAAUCUUUGAACGCACAUUGCGCCCGCUAGUAUCCUGGCGGGCAUGCCUGUCCGAGCGUCAUUUCAACCCUCAAGCCCCCGGGCUUGGUGUUGGGGAUCGGCGAGCCUCCGCGCCCGCCGUCCCCUAAAUCUAGUGGCGGUCUCGCUGUAGCUUCCUCUGCGUAGUAGCACACCUCGCACUGGGAAACAGCGCGGCCACGCCGUUAAACCCCCAACUUCUGAACGUUUGACCUCGGAUCAGGUAGGAAUACCCGCUGAACUUAAGCAUAUCAAUAAGCGGAGGA
RNAcentral lists this unclassified non-coding RNA (343 nucleotides) under soil metagenome. Its description in RNAcentral is "partial contains 5.8S ribosomal RNA, internal transcribed spacer 2, and large subunit ribosomal RNA". The stretch from base 1 to 120 matches the Rfam family "5.8S ribosomal RNA", at positions 35 to 154 of the family's 154-position model. The record is from RNAcentral.